ACUAUCUUGACAGAAAAGUGUAAUAGAUUUAGAAUCUAUAAAUGUGAUUAUUGAUUACAGGUAGUA
This 66-nucleotide transfer RNA is filed under the name Pseudophoraspis clavellata. Its description in RNAcentral is "tRNA-Leu". The record is from RNAcentral. Lineage: Eukaryota; Metazoa; Arthropoda; Insecta; Blattodea; Blaberidae.